Molecule: long non-coding RNA, 152 nt
Organism: Bufo bufo (common toad)
Lineage: Eukaryota; Metazoa; Chordata; Amphibia; Anura; Bufonidae
Exons: 3
Source: RefSeq, a predicted model, not a curated record
ACUUUAUUGUGACUGGUUCCUAGUUGGUGUGGAAUUCGGAAGUCACAGCUGGCGGCAAUGUUGAGAACAGGAGCAUGAUGGGAGCAGAUUUGGCGCACGUGCCCUCUGGUGUCCAGAGGUUGGCACACGCACAGAAGGAGUGGUUGGAGGAG